This 433-nucleotide long non-coding RNA is filed under the name Androctonus crassicauda. Lineage: Eukaryota; Metazoa; Arthropoda; Arachnida; Scorpiones; Buthidae. The record is from RNAcentral.
AGAUCAUUAAUUUUAAUUCAUCAAAACAUUAAGUUUUUAAUUUAAAUAAUACUUUAUUUUUAUUUAAAUAUUUUCUGUUAGAGAAAUAAAUUAUUUAAAGUUAAUAAUUGAGAUAAUUUAAUUCUAAUAAUAAAUAAAAUAAGUUAUAUCUUAGAUAUCGAUGUUAAACAUGGAUAUAAUAGGAGAAUGUUAGAGAGAUUAGUGGACAGAAUUAGGAAGAAAUGUGAGGAGAAGCCCAACAGGAAGACAGAUACACAUGAAGAAAAUAGAACAUGCUACUCUCAAGUCACGUACUACCCUGCCACUGAUAAGAUCCUUAGUAAAGCAAUGAAGAGAACAAAUAAAAAGAUGGUGAAGAAGAGAGGGCCGUCCUUAGUUAACAUACUUCGAAAUGAUAAGGACCUAGUAGAUGCCAAUAAGAGAUCAGGGAUAU